RNA transcript from Trichosurus vulpecula (common brushtail), 1611 nucleotides. It is a transcript of the gene named testis-expressed protein 11-like, with no coding region annotated. The record is from RefSeq and is a predicted model, not a curated record. The transcript has 3 exons. Lineage: Eukaryota; Metazoa; Chordata; Mammalia; Diprotodontia; Phalangeridae.
AGUAUAGGAGUUAUUCAGUCUUUAAAUAUUUAAUAGAAUUCACUUGUAAAAUCCAUCAGUUAACCUACAAGUGCUUAACUAUGUGCCCAGCACUGUGCUAGGCACUGACCAUGUAAGUACAAAGUAACCCUAAAUGCACACUCACAGUGAGCUCACAUCCCAAUGAAAAUGAGCACAUCUCAAAAUAUACACAGUGUAGACAUAAUGUUAGUAAAUCCAAACAUAUAAAAAGUCAUUAAUUCUAAGGGAGUUUUGGAGGAAGGACCCUUGCAGUCAGGGAGAUCAGCAAAAACUUCAUGUGGAAGAUGGUUCUGGAGCAACAGGACUCAAAAGUGGAAGUGAGGAGAAUGAGCAUCAGAGAUACGGAAACCAGAGGUGAGUAAAAGAGAAAAGGCCAAUUUGGUUGGACUCCAGAAUGCAAGACAGAAUAAUGUCCAGUGAAGCCAGAAAGCUGCUUUGGGGACACAUUGUGUAGGCCCAUAAAAGGCCGUAAAAGAACAGAGUUGAGAUUUUUUUCCUGUGGACAAUAUGAAGCCAUAGAGCCGCUUAAGUAGUAGAAUCACGUGUUCAGAUCUGUGUUCAUGGAAAACGACUGGAGUGGAGAGGAUCUGGAGGCAGGGAGGCCAUUUUGGAGGCUGUUACAAUAAUCUAGGUCAGGGCUUCUCAAACUUUUUCCACUCAAGACCCCUUCAGCACUUCUCACAGUGGUGAGAGGUGAUGGGGCCUCUGUGAGUGGAGAGAAGGGGUCAGAUGCAAGAGAUAUAGGGGUAGAAAUGGCAUAAUUUGUCAACUGAUUAGAUAACAGGGGUGAGGAAGAGGGAGGAGUUGAGGAUGAUGCUGAGCUUACAAAGCUCAGACACUAGAAGAAAUCGUGGUGCCUUUAACAAAAAUCGGGGAGUUUGGUUUAGUGGGAAAGAUCUAGAGUUGAAUUUUGGACAUAUUGAGUCGAAGGUGUCUCAGGCACAUCCCGUUUCAAAUGAGAGUUAGGCACUGGAACUCAAGGGAGAAACUAAGGCUCCAUAUCUAGAGAUGAGAGGCACCCCAUGAAAAUGGCUGAGGUCGCGAAGAGAGGAAAGAGGGAGAAGAGGCCCAGGACAAGAGCUCAAAGAAUACCCACUCCCCUUUUGAUGGGUUCUCUCUCAGAAAUCAGCUUAUUGAAAUUCUGGAUUUCUUGUUUGGCUCAUUCGCAUAAUUUCUAUUUAAUGCAUCCUUUUCAUUUAAGGUUUCAGAUGAUUUGAGUACGGUCAGUGGUGUUCAGCAGGUGUACCCACAAGUAGAGAUUCUUUGGCUUAUGACCAAAGCCUGGAAUACAGGCAUCUACCAGUAUAAUGAGGGCCUGUACGUAACUGCUGAGAAGUGGUGUGCUUUGGCAAUUCGCUUUCUUGGCCACCUUGGCUCCCUGAAGAAGUGCUAUGAACGUCAGAUGACUGAGGUGUAUGGCGAGAUCCUGGCCAAGGUGGAGAAAGAUAAAAGCUUGCCUUCCAAAGAGGAAUAGGAGCUACCAGAACUUGGAGCACAUGGAGGUCCUCAGUAGCAGAGCAUCUAGGCCUGUUCUCAGGGUCUUAUGGUGUUAGAUUGAUUAAAAUGACAAGAUUAUUGGGGGGAGGAGGG